Molecule: long non-coding RNA, 563 nt
Filed under: Equus caballus (horse)
Lineage: Eukaryota; Metazoa; Chordata; Mammalia; Perissodactyla; Equidae
Description: lncRNA (ENSECAG00000036096.2)
Source: RNAcentral
AUUGCUUCUGUUUCUUUCUUGUGCUCUAGACUAGUGAAUUCUUGCCUGCAAAGGUGAGUGAACCUUUCUUCCAGCCACCCUUCCACUUUCUGAUCUCAAAUGGAUUGGCAUCGAAAAAAAUGUUUCAAAAUGCAGGAUACAUGUGGGACUGGCUAAAAGGAGUCCUCAGUGAAAAGACUGGAAAACCACUGGCGAAAGUCAUGUCUGGAGAAGAGCAGGAAUAGACAGGAUCCACAGCUAGGACCUCGGCGGAGAAGUUAGAGAGGUGUGAUGGAGUGGAAGAAAGACUGGAUUUGGGGCCAGAAGGUGUGGGUACCAGCUUGGAACAGUGGAAAGAACAGAUUUGUAGACUGACUCCCUGAUCACAAUCUGUGCAGCUAGUCUCUACAUCUGUAAAUGAGCAUCGCUCCCAUGAAACGCCUGGCCCAGAGGUGCAAAAUACCCGUCUUCUCUGCAGAUCUCAACAAGUAUUUGUUGGGUGUCUUCUGGAUUCUGCGUUAGAGAAUGGUGGUGGCAAGAAACCAUCAGAGAAAGGAGAGGAAUGUAAUCUAGAGUUAGGUUCU